RNAcentral lists this long non-coding RNA (315 nucleotides) under Hordeum vulgare. RNAcentral describes it as "long non-coding RNA (HVUL_LNC003098)". The record is from RNAcentral. Lineage: Eukaryota; Viridiplantae; Streptophyta; Magnoliopsida; Poales; Poaceae.
GCUGCCGGUCCUAUGAGGAGAGCGAGGGGGCUCGGGCGCGAGGCCUCGGCUGCCGUUGCCGCGGCAUGGAGGAGCUCCGGCAAUUCUCGACGUGCUGGCCGUACGGCGACGGGGAAGACCAUGGCAUCGAGCUUCGGCGGCGGAGGGAUGUUGCGGUUCAUGCAUCACAUGGCCAGAUCCAACUGUUGUUGGCAGAGCUACUGCACCUGCGGUGUUGCUGAACCUGCUGGUUCCCAGGCACAGCGAGGAGAUCCUAAGGAAGACAAAAAAAUAAGAAAAGAGAUCACGGAAGAGAGGGAAUCAAGAGGAGGAGGU